This 434-nucleotide ribosomal RNA is filed under the name uncultured bacterium. RNAcentral describes it as "partial 16S ribosomal RNA". It matches the Rfam family "Bacterial small subunit ribosomal RNA", at positions 29 to 507 of the family's 1533-position model. The record is from RNAcentral.
AGCGAACGCUGGCGGCAGGCCUAACACAUGCAAGUCGAACGAACCUUUCGGGGUUAGUGGCGGACGGGUGAGUAACACGUGGGAACGUGCCUUUAGGUUCGGAAUAACUCAGGGAAACUUGUGCUAAUACCGAAUGUGCCCUUCGGGGGAAAGAUUUAUCGCCUUUAGAGCGACCCGCGUCUGAUUAGCUAGUUGGUUGAGGUAAUGGCUCACCAAGGCGACGAUCAGUAGCUGGUCUGAGAGGAUGAUCAGCCACAUUGGGACUGAGACACGGCCCAAACUCCUACGGGAGGCAGCAGUGGGGAAUCUUGCGCAAUGGGCGAAAGCCUGACGCAGCCAUGCCGCGUGAAUGAUGAAGGUCUUAGGAUUGUAAAAUUCUUUCACCGGGGACGAUAAUGACGGUACCCGGAGAAGAAGCCCCGGCUAACUUCGUG